GUGGAAUGAAGUGACUUGCUGAGCCUUCUGGCCUUUAUCUUUCUUCUGUGCUGGAUGCUUCCUGCCCUCGAACAUCAGAUUCCAAGUUCUUCAGCUUUUGGACUCUUGGACCUACACCAGUGAUUUGCGGGGGGCUCUUGGGCCUUCACCACAUACAGAAGGCUGCACUGUCGGCUUCCCUACUUUUGAGGUUUUGGAACUCGGCCUGGUUCCCUCGCUCCUCAGCUUGCAGACGGUCUAUUGUGGGACUUCAUCAUGUGAUUGUGAAGAGGAGAUCAAGACACAGACAAGAUGAGGUUAAGACCAUGUGAAGACAGAGAGAGAAGACUGCAAUCCACAGGCCAAGGAGAGAGGACUCAGAAGAAGCAACCUGGCUAAUACCUUUAUCUCAGACUUCUGGCAUCCAUUAUUAUUAAACAACAGAUUUCAGUUGUUUAAGCCACUAGCCUGUGGUAUUUUG
RNAcentral lists this long non-coding RNA (460 nucleotides) under Homo sapiens (human). RNAcentral describes it as "HSALNT0081030". The record is from RNAcentral. Lineage: Eukaryota; Metazoa; Chordata; Mammalia; Primates; Hominidae.